This is a long non-coding RNA of Thunnus maccoyii (southern bluefin tuna), 372 nucleotides long. RefSeq lists it as uncharacterized. The transcript has 3 exons. NCBI's taxonomy places the organism in Eukaryota, Metazoa, Chordata, Actinopteri, Scombriformes, Scombridae. The record is from RefSeq and is a predicted model, not a curated record.
GUGCAGCCCUAACUUCAGUGAAGACUUGGAACAAGCUGAUAUGACAGCGUCACAGAGUGCGGACUAAGAAGACUUCUCCGACCUUAAAUUUUUUUUGCAGAAGCCCAGUGAAGUUCUCAGCCACUUCACUGUUCCUGCCUCCAUUCACCAAUCAACACUAACAGUGGAAAACAGACUUCAGUGCCAUCUGAUGCUCAGUCCCCACCAACUCCAAGGACACCCGAGGAAAAGGAACUUCCAGUGACAAUUAUUAAAACUGUUUGACUGCCUUUUCAUCAAAACAAGUGCGAUGGAGAAUGCAACAAACAGCCAGUGAGAGGAAGCCUUUUCUACAAUCUGUUACAUUUGUCAAUUUUCUACUUAAAGACUGGG